AUACGGAGGAUGCAAGCGUUAUCCGGAUUUAUUGGGUUUAAAGGGUGCGUAGGCGGUUUGCUAAGCGGGAGGUGAAAUGCCGGCGCUCAACGUCGGAAGUGCCUCCCGAACUGGUGGACUGGAGCGACUCUGCCGUGGGAGGAAUGUGUAGUGUAGCGGUGAAAUGCUUAGAGAUUACACAGAACACCAAUUGCGAAGGCAUCUCACGAAGGGUUGAUUGACGCUGAGGCACGAAAGCGUGGGGAUCAAACAGGAUUAGAUACCCUGGUAGUCCACGCAGUAAACGAUGAUGGCUAACCGCUGGUUUAUUCGGAUCAGUGGCCAAGCGAAAGCGAUAAGCCAUCCACCUGGGGAGUACGACCGCAAGGUUGAAACUCAAAUGAAUUGACGGGG
This 393-nucleotide ribosomal RNA is filed under the name uncultured bacterium. RNAcentral's name for it is "partial 16S ribosomal RNA". It matches the Rfam family "Bacterial small subunit ribosomal RNA", at positions 523 to 918 of the family's 1533-position model. The record is from RNAcentral.